UAGAGGUGGAGCGUGUUACUUGGCCAAGAAUGACUUGCCUACAUGACAGACGUGAUUAGAAUGGCAACUAACUGAACUUUUUUCCAUUCAUUUAGAGUGCUGUUUUGUGAGCAAGUCAUUCUGGCCAACCAACCCGUUGUUCUUUUG
This 147-nucleotide microRNA precursor is filed under the name Picea abies (Norway spruce). RNAcentral's name for it is "miR11549 stem-loop (pab-MIR11549)". Lineage: Eukaryota; Viridiplantae; Streptophyta; Pinopsida; Pinales; Pinaceae. The record is from miRBase by way of RNAcentral.